This 431-nucleotide ribosomal RNA is filed under the name uncultured bacterium. RNAcentral's name for it is "partial 16S ribosomal RNA". It matches the Rfam family "Bacterial small subunit ribosomal RNA", at positions 29 to 507 of the family's 1533-position model. The record is from RNAcentral.
AACGAACGCUGGCGGCAGGCCUAACACAUGCAAGUCGAGCGCCAUUUCGGGGGAGCGGCGGACGGGUGUGUCACGCGUGGGAAUAUGCCCUUCUCUCCGGAAUAGCCUCUGGAAACUGAGAGUAAUACCGUAUAAGGCCUACGAGGGAAAGAUUUAUCGGGGAAGGAUUAGCCCGCGUUGGAUUAGGUAGUUGGUGGGGUAAUGGCCUACCAAGCCGACGCUCCAUAGCUGGUUUGAGAGGAUGAUCAGCCACACUGGGACUGGGACACGGCCCAGACUCCUACGGGAGGCAGCAGUGGGGAAUCUUAGACAAUGGCGGCAACCCUGAUCUAGCCAUGCCGGGUGAGUGAUGAAGGCCUUAGGGUUGGAAAGCUCGUUCAGCUGGGAAGAUAAUGACGGUACCAGCAGAAGAAGCCCCGGCUAACUCCGUG